AAUUUUGGACAAUGGGGGAAACCCUGAUCCAGCCAUCCCGCGUGUAUGAUGAAGGCCUUCGGGUUGUAAAGUACUUUUGGCAGAGAAGAAAAGGUAUCCCCUAAUACGGGAUACUGCUGACGGUAUCUGCAGAAUAAGCACCAGCUAACUACGUGCCAGCAGCCGCGGUAAUACGUAGGGUGCAAGCGUUAAUCGGAAUUACUGGGCGUAAAGCGGGUGUGGGCGGUUCGAAAGGAAAGAUGGAAAUUCCAGGGGCUAAACCUUGGAACUGCAUUUUUAACUGCGGGGCUGGAGUAUGUCAGGGGGGGGAAGAAUUCAACGUGUAGAAGGGAAAUGCGUAGGAAUGUGGAGGAAAACCGAUGGCGAAGGAAGCCCCCUGGGAAAAUACUGACGCUCAAACACGAAAGCGUGGGAGGCAAACAG
This 423-nucleotide ribosomal RNA is filed under the name uncultured bacterium. Its description in RNAcentral is "partial 16S ribosomal RNA". It matches the Rfam family "Bacterial small subunit ribosomal RNA", at positions 360 to 775 of the family's 1533-position model. The record is from RNAcentral.